UGUUGAUUCAUUUGUCCUUGUAAGCUCUUUCCUUCCCAAUGGUGGUCCAACUUUUUCCGAUGUUUAGACAGCUGGAGUUGCAAAGGAAGCUUUGGAAGGGCAUUGCAUAUAUGACGGGGGGUUUUGCAAACUCCAUAUCUCGUAUUCGCGCCAUACAGAUCUUAGCAUAAAGGUUAACAAUGAUCGGAGCAGAGACUACACAAUCCCCAACACCCUGAUGAUGAAUCCUCAACCUUCAAUUCUAGGGCAGCAACCGGCUUUAGCUAUAAGCAACUUUGCUAGCAUGUGGUUCAUUCUCCUUUUCGUCUCAAUUUUCGCAACCGGGUAUUCUUGAGCUCCGUUGGAGUGGUUUCAGCAUUGAGGAUUCGUGGAGGAAUGAGCAAUUCUGGGUCAUCGGUGGUACAUCUGCUCACCUUUUUGCUGUGUUCCAAGGGCUUCUUAAAGUGCUUGCUGGCAUUGAUACCAACUUCAGUCACUUCGAAAGUAGCCGAUGAGGAAGGAGACUUUGCUGAGCUUUGUGUUCAAAUGACAUCGCUUCUCAUUCCUCCGACCACAGUUUUUAUCGUGAACAUCAUUGGCAUUG
This is a long non-coding RNA of Eucalyptus grandis, 583 nucleotides long. RefSeq lists it as uncharacterized. Lineage: Eukaryota; Viridiplantae; Streptophyta; Magnoliopsida; Myrtales; Myrtaceae. The transcript is spliced from 4 exons. The record is from RefSeq and is a predicted model, not a curated record.